AUUGAACGCUGGCGGCAUGCCUUACACAUGCAAGUCGAACGGCAGCACGGGUGCUUGCACCUGGUGGCGAGUGGCGAACGGGUGAGUAAUACAUCGGAACGUACCUUAUCGUGGGGGAUAACGCAGCGAAAGCUGUGCUAAUACCGCAUACGCCCUGAGGGGGAAAGCGGGGGAUCGAAAGACCUCGCGCGAUUAGAGCGGCCGAUGCCUGAUUAGCUUGUUGGUGGGGUAAAAGCCCACCAAGGCGACGAUCAGUAGCUGGUCUGAGAGGACGAUCAGCCACACUGGGACUGAGACACGGCCCAGACUCCUACGGGAGGCGGCAGUAGGGAAUUUUGGACAAUGGGGGCAACCCUGAUCCAGCAAUGCCGCGUGAGUGAAGAAGGCCUUCGGGUUGUAAAGCUCUUUUGUCAGGGAAGAAACACCGGCUCUAACACAGUCUGGGAAUGACGGUACCUGAAGAAUAAGCACCGGCUAACUACGUGCCAGCAGCCGCCGUAA
Molecule: ribosomal RNA, 501 nt
Filed under: uncultured bacterium
Lineage: Bacteria
Description: partial 16S ribosomal RNA
Rfam family: Bacterial small subunit ribosomal RNA
Source: RNAcentral